RNAcentral lists this long non-coding RNA (1626 nucleotides) under Rattus norvegicus (Norway rat). RNAcentral's name for it is "long non-coding RNA NONRATT019013". Lineage: Eukaryota; Metazoa; Chordata; Mammalia; Rodentia; Muridae. The record is from RNAcentral.
GUAGUUUUGGUUCUUGAGUGUGUGGUAAAAGGCUGUUUGCAUUUUCCUCAUUCACUCAUUUUUAAACUAUCUAUAUAAAUACAACUUGGGUAUGAUUUUUGCUUAAUGCAGUCUUUGUGCUUUAAGUUACCAGUUUGCUCCUCUUACCUUCUAGUCACCUAAACAAGACUUUUCUCAGAACACAAUGACUGGUUUUAAAUAUUACAAUUUAAAAAUGUAUCUAUUAGAAAACUGUUCUUUAGAGUAAGAUUUAGAAAUACGGUAUUUGUGCCUUUUUCAUUGUUUUUCUUUUAAUGUGUUUUGAUAUUUGGAGCACAAAUAUAAAGGUGCCAUAAGAUGGCUUGCUCAUGUUACCUCCUUAAAUUUUUCUAUGUUACUAUCUUCAAAUAAUAAUUGGAGAACCUUGAACGAAAUGUGGUUCUUUAUGUGAGAUAUGUAUGUGUUUGUAUUUUCUUAAGCUGUGUGAAAUAUGUUUAAGAGUGAAUUUAUGAAAAUAGAACUUGGUUAAAUAUGCGUGUGCUUUAUUUAAAAAGACAGUAGAUUGCCAGAAGACAGUGUAAUCCUCAAAAAUGUGACCAGCAUUCUACAUUAUAAAAUAGGAAAAUAGUGCUAUUUUACAUUAUCAAGAAUAAUUAAAUUUUAAAAAUAGUUGCUUUAAAUAUUUUAAAGUGUCAUGAACAUUAUUAUUUUAUUUUUUAACUCGAUCGAAUUGAGAGUUUAAAUUUUCAGAAAUAUUAAUUUGUUCAUUUAAAGCUUUAUUCAUGAAUUUUAAGUUGUUAUGUGAAAUUAUAGAUAAGGGCCUCAAGUAUGGCUCAGUGAUAGAUAGUGUGUUUAUGAAUAUUUGUGAUCCAUGUGUUGGAUCCAUAGCAAUACCAACAAACAAAAAGAUGGGAUCGUAGAUAUGAUUCAUUUAGAAAACAGAAGCAAAGACUUGGGUAAGUUUUAUGAAAAUCUAACGCAGCAGUUUUACUACAAGUCACAUGUUCAUGAAGAGGUGAAGUAAUCUCUUUUGGUCAUGUCUGGUCUUUGAUGGUUACAAUGGAAAUAUUUGUUGUGUUCUUUAGAGAGGUGAGUGGAUGAGUGAGUGGGUUUCAGUGUUCCCAGAAAAUAAAUACAGCACUUUCAGCACGUAUGAGAGUAUUUUACAAAGCUUUUUAUGUAGAGAAUGUGAGCUCCAACUUAAGUGUUCAUGGAAUGAUGUAAGUGUUGGCUAUGUCAAUCUGAAAUAAUACUGAGUGCCUCCAAUGUAAGACUUCUUUACUAGGAAUGAAAUCAUACUGUAUCUUCUGUUGUUGUAUGUAAGUUUAUAUCUGAGAAGUAAUACUUAUUUUUAAAUAUUUUGUUAGUAAAGCUUAUUAUAUACUGUAAUCUAACUAGUAAUUUAGCAUUGCUUACAAAUGAAUUGAGCCCACUUUUUUGAAAAUAAAGUUCUGCUAAAAUUAUUUAAGUUCAGAAGGAAGUUGACUUUUAAAACUCAGACCUUUAACAUUUAAUCUUUCUGGCCUUUAUUUAAUCCAUUUGAUGUUUUAUGAUGAGAUACACACUAUUUGUGUUAUUGUUGGAAAUAGAUUGUGUGUUUCAGCACGUUGAGUUAAAAUAAAAUUGUUACUACUUAUUUAGAAUUAA